GAAAAUAAUUUUUUCACCCUAAGUAUUUAAAGUUAUGUACUUGAAAUUUGAAGAAUUUGGCGGUGAUUUAGUCUUGUCAGAGGAACCUGUUUUUGAAUCGAUACACCCCGAAGAAUCUUACUUAAGCUUGUAAAGGCAGUAUGUAUACCAUCAUUAUUAGGUAAUUUUUAUAGAAUAAAUUACUGAACGAUAAUUAUUAACAAUAUUAAAUAUAUUAGAUCAAGGUGCAGCUAAUGCUUAAGUUAAAAUGGGUUACAAUAAAAAUUUAUUUAGUACGGAGUAUUAAUUCAAAUAAUUAUUUAUAAGGAGGAGUUUUUUGUGAAUAAAAUUUUAUAUGUGUAGUUAUAGAUAAGCUCUCAAAAAUGUGCACACCCCGCCCCCCCCCUCACAAA
Molecule: ribosomal RNA, 392 nt
Filed under: Scylla tranquebarica (purple mud crab)
Lineage: Eukaryota; Metazoa; Arthropoda; Malacostraca; Decapoda; Portunidae
Description: partial 12S ribosomal RNA
Source: RNAcentral